UACGUAGGGGGCAAGCGUUGUCCGGAAUCAUUGGGCGUAAAGAGCGUGUAGGCGGACUGGAAGGUCUGGUGUGAAAGCCCGGGGCUCAACCCCGGAGGGUCACUGGAAACCAACAGUCUUGAGUCCGGAAGAGGAGAGUGGAAUUCCUGGUGUAGCGGUGGAAUGCGCAGAUAUCAGGAGGAACACCAAUGGCGAAGGCAGCUCUCUGGUACGUGACUGACGCUGAGACGCGAAAGCGUGGGGAGCGAACAGG
Molecule: ribosomal RNA, 253 nt
Filed under: uncultured bacterium
Lineage: Bacteria
Description: partial 16S ribosomal RNA
Rfam family: Bacterial small subunit ribosomal RNA
Source: RNAcentral